UUGACAUGCAGAGAACUUUCCUAGAGAUGGAUUGGUGCCUUCGGGAACUCUGACACAGGUGCUGCAUGGCUGUCGUCAGCUCGUGUCGUGAGAUGCUGGUUAAGUCCGUAACGAGCGCAACCCUUGUCCUUAGUUACCAGCACGUUAAGGUGGGCACUCUAAGGAGACUGCCGGUGACAAACCGGAGGAAGGUGGGGAUGACGUCAAGUCAUCAUGGCCCUUACGGCCUGGGCUACACACGUGCUACAAUGGUCGGUACAAAGGGUUGCCAAGCCGCGAGGUGGAGCUAAUCCCAUAAAACCGAUCGUAGUCCGGAUCGCAGUCUGCAACUCGACUGCGUGAAGUCGGAAUCGCUAGUAAUCGUGAAUCAGAAUGUCACGGUGAAUACGUUCCCGGGCCUU
This 401-nucleotide ribosomal RNA is filed under the name uncultured Pseudomonas sp. RNAcentral's name for it is "bacterial SSU rRNA". It matches the Rfam family "Bacterial small subunit ribosomal RNA", at positions 981 to 1382 of the family's 1533-position model. The record is from RNAcentral. Lineage: Bacteria; Pseudomonadati; Pseudomonadota; Gammaproteobacteria; Pseudomonadales; Pseudomonadaceae.